Molecule: long non-coding RNA, 271 nt
Filed under: Elaeis guineensis (African oil palm)
Lineage: Eukaryota; Viridiplantae; Streptophyta; Magnoliopsida; Arecales; Arecaceae
Description: long non-coding RNA (EGUI_LNC046569)
Source: RNAcentral
AAAAAUAACAUGGUAAAAUCUAUUUAAAAAUCUCCAUUCAAAUUUAACACAUGAUCAAUAUCUAAGUUGUUGGUGUGGUCCCUCAUUUGGGAUCCACACUUUUUUAAAAUAGGAAAAAAGGGAAUGUAAGCCCUAGCUUGGUGCAGUAAAUAGAGACUAAGUGAAACAAAGAAGGUGCAAUGCAGAAAAAGAGGCAGCAGUGAGGAAAAAAGAAAAAUAGGGGAAUGAGGAAGAGAAAAGGUUCAAAGAAAAUGAUGUUAUUUUAUGGGAC